CACGGAGUUAGCCGGGGCUUCUUCUCUCGGUACCGUCAACCCUCGGGAUUGUUCACCCCAAGGGAAUUCGUCUCGAUCGAAAGGAGUUUACGACCCGAAGAUCUUCAUCCUCCACGCGGCGUUGCGUCGUCAGGCUUGCGCCCAUUGCGAACAAUUCCCCA
This 161-nucleotide ribosomal RNA is filed under the name uncultured bacterium. RNAcentral describes it as "partial 16S ribosomal RNA". The record is from RNAcentral.